RNAcentral lists this long non-coding RNA (720 nucleotides) under Pan troglodytes (chimpanzee). RNAcentral's name for it is "long non-coding RNA NONPTRT001014". Lineage: Eukaryota; Metazoa; Chordata; Mammalia; Primates; Hominidae. The record is from RNAcentral.
GGGAAGUGGAGUCAGACAGGAGCCCUACCGAGGCUCCAGUGCCACAGGGCCUGUGACCAGGCUGGGCUGAGGCCAGAGGAAAUGCCAUCCCACCUGCAAGCCUGCUCGACCUCUCCAGACCCAGGAUGGGAGCAUCGAGGAAGAACUACAACUGCCAGCACCACCCCAGCCCCAACUUCAGUCAUGGCCACUCCUCAGAUAAUAGGUCACUGAAGGGACCUCGGUUAUGUAGGGACCCUGGUUAUGCAGGGACCCCACUCCCUCCCUCCAGGUGCAGUGAAUUGGAACACUGGCACUCUGAAAAUGGAAUGUUAUGAACAUGGGGUGGUCUGGAUGUUGGGUACCCCAGGCCCCCUGGAAUUUGGCACUGGGGGCUCUGGGUUUUGGGUCCUCUACAGUGUUGGGUGCUCUGGCACCCUUGACAUUGGGAAUUCAGGACUUUGGGAGCUCAAAGCGAUUGAGGAGUCUGGGUGUUGAAAGCUCUGGAGAUUGGGGCUGCCCCUUGGACAACGCCAAAGUCAAUACUUCCUGUCUAUAUGCCUGAUUUUACCUGGAGCCACUGAGGUCCAGCCCGGAACCCCUGUUCUGAACCCCAUGAUUGGCUUAUGCUGCCCCAAGGCUGGGGUGGCAGGGCUGGGGUGGCGGGGUUACAGGGGUAGAGAAACCACAACAGGAUGGCCUAAGGGGUACCUGGGGCCCCAGAGACAGCUCUCAGAUCUG